This 388-nucleotide ribosomal RNA is filed under the name Chytridiomycetes sp. RNAcentral's name for it is "partial small subunit ribosomal RNA". It matches the Rfam family "Eukaryotic small subunit ribosomal RNA", at positions 582 to 975 of the family's 1831-position model. The record is from RNAcentral. Lineage: Eukaryota; Fungi; Chytridiomycota; Chytridiomycetes.
AUUCCAGCUCCAAUAGCGUAUAUUAAAGUUGUUGCAGUUAAAAAGCUCGUAGUUGAAUUUUGGACCUGGUUGAAUGGUCCCGCCGCAAGGUGGGUACUGUUUGAUUGGGUCUUUCUUUGCGGGGAAUUAGUGUGCUCUUAAUUGGGUGCAUUAAGGAUCCGUAACUUUUACUUUGAAAAAAUUAGAGUGUUUAAAGCAGGCUUAGGCCUGAAUACAUUAGCAUGGAAUAAUAGAAUAGGACCUGUGUUCUAUUUUGUUGGUUUCUAGGACGUAGGUAAUGAUUAAUAGGGAUAGUUGGGGGCAUUCGUAUUUAACUGUCAGAGGUGAAAUUCUUGGAUUUGUUAAAGACGGGCUACUGCGAAAGCAUUUGCCAGGGAUGUUUUCAUCA